CCUACAACAGUGGCCGUAACCGUCGCCAGUAUUAGCUCUUUUUUUUGUUUUGUUUUACAUUUCACUCGCAAUAUGUAUAAUUGAAAAUAAAUAUUAUUCGACACUAACAAUCCAGAUGGUUUUACGUGCCAAAACACAAUGAACGAAUAAAGGCUCGCCUGUCAUCCCCUUUAGCUAGCAAAUUGGACGUUCACGUGCAUUAUAAUGAUACGAUACUAUGUGUACAUAUAUAUUAUAUGUACACGAAUAAAAAAGAUUAAAUAUCAUAAUUGAGAAUCGUCGAAAUCCCUCGAGGAUUACCGUUAUGUGUUAUAUUUUACCGAUUUUGCUAUACACGCUCAAAAUUGUAAAACGAUCCUGCAGACGUAUUAUUUUAUUAUAUUACGACGAUUGACGAUUGACAAUGUAUUCGUGGGAUUUUUCGGUUGUUUAAAAUCGUAGUUCAUCGGAUUGUAAUAACUGUAAUGUUAUAAUCUAUUAUCUCAUCUGUACCAUUAUAAUACAUUGUCCGAGGCAAGGACGUAGUCAGAGGGGUCUGGACCCCCCUCCGAAAUUUAAGCUUCUCACCAAAAAAUCAGAUUAGUGAUAGUUAUUGGUAAAUUUCGUGUUUGAACACCCCCCCCCCAAAAAAAAAAAAAAAAUCCCGGCUACGUGUCUGGUCUGAGGUGGACGCUAACAAGAACCGACGGGAAGUUAGUAGAUACGAUUAAAAAUUCGCCGGCUUUUUUUUUUGUUUUUUUUUUUUAUACCAGCUAUUUUGCUAGUCGGCAAAUCAUGUAAUAAAUAAUACUUUUUAUUACGGUAGUUUUGCCGGCUUAAAAUUAAUAAUAAAUUUUAAAAUUUAAAUUUUCGUUAAAUUUUCGAAUCGGUGGUUCUAAAAUUCAGACCGGUACCGAAUCAUUUACAUUCCGAAUAAUUUCUACGCUAUCCAUUGUAGCCACCCCCGACUGUUAUAUCGUUUUCUUGUAAACGACCGUAAAUUCUAAUAAGUAAAAGUAUACCGCUGCGGUCGGACGUUUGGUGGUUCGGUGUCGUUGGAAAAAAAUAAAUGACGAUCAACCGAAUUUGGAUGGGCGAGAGCGCACCGAAAAAAUAUUAUAAUACGUAUUACUUAUGGAUGUCUUGUAAAGCCGUUCGUUUAAUUAUUAUUAUGAUUAUUUAAAGUACUUGUAAUAUAUUAUUAUGUCUGCCUGUCUCUGUUUAAAAAUUAGAUUUGUGAUACAUUUUUUAUUUAUUUAUUUCUUUUUGCAACAAGCUCUGAAUAAUGUUUAAAAUAUUAUUAUUCACCGUGAAAAUGUUUAAUUUAACGUAUCGUAUAAAUUUUUUAUUUAUUUAUUUUUUUAUUUUUUCUGCAACAAGCUCUGAAUAAUGUUUAAAAUAUUAUUAUUCACCGUGAAAGUGUGUAAUUUAACGUAUCGUGACUCGCAUGGUCUUACGAACUUAAAAAAAAUAUCAAAACCCUAAGGGGCGUACUAUAAUGGCCAAUAAUGAUCGCAUUUAUACUAUUAUACGCAUUGCGCCCCGGUCAAAUAAAAAAAAAAAAAAAUAAAUAACAUUAGAUUUCAAGCCAAUGGAUACAGUGCAAUGUAGUGAGUAGGAACCGACGACGCACCGUCCAAAUUUGUUGGAAAACCGAAAUAAAAUGUCGAUGCGCCAAUAGCUAUUUACCUACAGCAAAUGACUAUAAUAAUCCCUAGAAUAUAAUAUACUAAUAAAACCGCUAACUAAAAAUGAAAAUAAAAAAUGUGACAAUUCACUAACCUUAUGUGUAUUGGAUACGGGCUUCGACGAUUUUCGCUGACCGCCGGUGCUGGUCAACUUGACGGAAGAGUAGUGUCGCGACGGUGUAUUACGUGACGUAAUAGGUCAUAAUUUUAUUCUAUUAUAGUUUUCUAUGUUGACGCUUUUGCUGUAAAAAUAAAUAAAAUAAAAAACGCCGAUUGCGACCCCAGGGGGAAAACAGAAAAACACUAUAGGCACGCGACUAAUUUGAAAUCCAGGCGUUCUGAAAUAGUGCGAUGAAUGAGAUCAUGUGAAACUACUGAAUUUACGUAAAAAAAUAUUGGUAAAUUAUCUCACGUUCGACUACGGUUUCCAUCUAAUGCGGAUCGCCAUAGAGUAUCUGUUACGCGUCGUAUACUCUAUGGUUUAUCAUGGAAAAAUAGAUGGAUAUUUGUACUCAUCUUCCAAGCCGAAUAUAGACCAACAAAAAUUUCCAUAAAAAUGGAUGGGAAUGAAACUUGUGACAUUACGUUACUUGUCCAGAACAACCCCGCGCUGUUGUAAUUAUUAUUAAAGCUACGUACCUAUAGGUAGGCAGGUAUACGUAUUGUUUUUAUUCUUUAUGAAUUGAUUGCCGAUUACAUGUUUUAGAAGAACGUUGCAACGUUGGUUUUAUUUUUCGAUAAACAUAGGUCAGUACCACAAAUAAUAAUAUUAAAAAAGUUAUUAUUUUUAUACAGUAUUUUUAAGAUUUUAAAAGUCAAACCACUCAUUUCGAAGCGAGGGCAUAUCGACAAAUCAACGCCAGUGCAAGUUCUCUUUUUUUUUUUUUCGAUUGCAAAAAUUUGAUUUUUCAAUUAAGUUUAUAGCAGCUAUACAUAGCCAACCCCUUAAAUACUAUAGAGGCAGCACACUAGAGCACGUUCUAAAAACACAUUACAUCCUUUUUGUCUGCGAAUUAUUUUCUUGCCAAAAAACAUACACCGCCAUUGGUACUGCCAUUGAUUUUUUUUUUUUUUAUUAACUUUUUGAUUUAUAAGUACGAUGUAUUUUUAUACGGUCACGCAGCUGAUAAUAUGUCAUCCCGGACUAUUCAAAACCAUGUUCCUAUAUAAAUAUCGAAUUCGUAGCCGGGCGUAUUAUAUGCAUGCCUACUGUUAUAAUAUAUACAUAAUAUUUUAAAUAUUGUCUCGUUUCGAGAUUUUCCGCCGGAAAAUAUAAUAUGUAAAUAUGUAAUUAUUGUUUACCGAGAUUAAUUAUUAAUUUUAUACAUUCAUUUGAGGGGUAAUAUUUUGCAGCAGAAGCAGCAUCGAUAUUAUUAUAACAAAAACCGUUAAACCGUUGAUCUAUAUAAUAAAUAAAUAAUCAAUUAAUUACAAUAUAUUUCGAUUCGUAAUUUUCAACCGUGUAAAUUUAUUACGAUACGGGGUUGAUAUAAUCGAACGAUAUUAGGAUACUUUUUUGCGCAAUCUAAAAAACCCGAAAAAAUACCAUACCCCGAUAAUAUAUUUUUAUAAAUUAAUUGUUUAAAAUCGAUUCAUACUAAAUAAGAAAAAAAAAAAUCCCCCCAAGGCGGGCAUUGCUCCUUAUGGUUUUUACAGGCGAAAAUCACCGCCUUAUUUCGAUAGUUUACGCCUACGGAUUCGAAAGUGUACAUUUUGAAAUAAAUAUUCUCAGUUACACAAUAUAAUUUUAUGCUCCGUCGGCACGCGUAUUAAAAUAUAAAUGCACAAACGUAGGUGUUUUUUUGUCUAGUUUUCGUAAAAUAUACAAACACCAUUUUUUUGCAUCAUCAGUUAAAUGUCGUACCAUUUAAUCCGUUGUUUUUUGAUCAAAUUAUUUACGGUAAAAAAAAAAAAAAAAAUGAUUUUGAAAUCGAAAUUCGAUCGCUUUGACCCUGUGGCUCGCAGUAGCUAUAAUAUUACUAUUAUUGCAUGUGAUGUAUUUUACAAAACGAUUUUCUAUUAUCGAAUAAAUUAUUUAAGACGACCCCCUAGAUACUUUUUUAUUAUAAUUAUUUAUAAUGCACUUUAUCAUAAGUACCUAUUUAUAAAUAUAUGCUAUUCUGAUUUAGUAAUAAGUACCACCGGAUGAAAAAUCCGCAUUUUUUAAAAUACGGUGCGAAACAACUGAGUUAAUUUUGCUAAUCCAAAAAGUAUUAUCUGCAGACCAAAAAAAUAAAAAUAAAUAAUAAACAUCUUGAUAAAACUAAUACUUUAUUUGCUACAUUCAUAAUCUAAAACAUAAAUCUGUUUGUGGUGAGGGGGUGGGAAGUCCCACACAACUUAUGCUUAACAAAUUGUUCAAAAUAAUUAUAACUAAUUAUAGAACAAAAUAAUUAUGAUAACAGCACCGUUGGGUACAACAAAAAAGAAAAAUUAUUUUUAUUUUUUUUUUCCAAUGCUCAUUAAUACACGACUACCUAUAUUUUAUAAAAGUGUGAAGAUAAUCAAAAAAAAAAAAAAAAAAAAACCCUGACGGAAUUAUAAUGAAUAAUUUUAUUAAUUUAAUACGUUUUAUUGUAUAUUGUAUAAUAAUAAUAAAUUUAUAUUAACAAUAGAUUAGUGAGAAAAAAAAACGCGCUGUUUCAACAGAACAAUCAAAACAAUCAUAGAUACUUAUAAUUAAGAGGACGCCACACCCGCAGCAUAUUCUACUGUCUCUGGUCUUACAAACGUAUACACGACGUAGGUAGGCAAUUUGCACGGACACAUUUCGCGCUACAAGCCGGAAAUUAUGGACGGCGGGUUAUAAAAUGACGGCGAUUUAAAAUUUAUCAUUUAUUCGUAAUAAGGAAAACAAUAUAGUAUUGGUGUACUUUAAGGAGAGAGUAAUACAACUAAAAAGAAAAAAAGAGAUCCGAAACUAUAUUUCGUGCUAAUCUACUAAUUUUUGUACUGAAUUUGUUGACGUUGUAAUAUACAAUGCUAGAGAUUCGGAGGCCGAGGUGUUAGUCAAAUUUUGGGACCCGCUUCUCUCUUGAAGAAAUUUAUCCAAUCAAUAAUUAUAAAAAAAAAAAAAAAAACAAAACACAACGGCUUACAUAAAUGUAUUUACUCGUUCGAUAUUAGGUACUUGUAUAAUUAUUCGAAUACCUGAAAUAAUUAUGGAAUAAAAGUAGUUCAAUAAAAUUAUUACCUAGACAUUAUAAACAUAUAAAUUUGAUCAUUCGUUUACCGUUUAUGUAAGACGCGAGACAGUAGAUCCUUAAUAAUAAGUUUUACAAUAAUUUUAGGUAUACGUAAUACGUUUCGCACAUUUUGUAAAUCACGUCAACGCUCAUAAUUUAUUACCUGCACCGGGUAGUAUAGGUAUAAAUCAUUAUUAUAAUAUUAUAGGUAUACGUUUUCCAUUUUUCGAAAUCUAUUAGGACUUCGCGUUCACAACUCAUAGGCAAUCAUUAUUGAGACUAUUUAUAACUUACUAUAUAUUAUUAUAUUUUAUUUUCGAGUGCACGUGUUUUUUUUUAAACAAUUUUCUUUUUUAUAUAGGACACCUAAUGUAAUUGCACAAAAGAUAUCACAAUAAUAUUACUCAAAUCGUAUAGGUACGUGAAUGUACGCCUAUACAUUAUUACAAUCGCAUCACGGUUGGAAAAAAAUAUUAUUGCGUACGCGAAACACCGCCGCGUGUGUUCCGUGUUUUUGUUGUAUUUUUUUUUGAUAAAAAUUGUAUUCGUGUAAACGUUAAUUUUAAAUAGAUUAAGUAGAUAAGUAAACACAAAAAUGAAUAAAUAAAUAAAUUGACGUCAUUUUUAACGUCGACAUUAUUAAUAUUCUAAUUGUUUAUUUAUGCGUUUUGCGCGCGCGUUUAUAUAUAACGGAUUUAUAAGUAAAAAAAAAAAAAUUUAAGAUGUUAUUUUUCUGAAAAAACAAAAAAAAGCAGCUUUUUAUAAUAAUAAAUAUCGAAAGUUUUUGUACACGUUGUUUUAUUAGAUAAUUAUUGUUUACUACGGAAAAUAGACGAUUUGAUGUGUUGUAUUCGUUAAAUGUGUUUGUUAGAGAAUAUGUAUUAUAUUAUAUUACAAUAAUAAUAUACUACCGAUGAC
This is a non-coding RNA of Cinara cedri, 5770 nucleotides long. Lineage: Eukaryota; Metazoa; Arthropoda; Insecta; Hemiptera; Aphididae. The record is from the annotation of a GenBank genome assembly.